UACGUAGGGUGCGAGCGUUAAUCGGAAUUACUGGGCGUAAAGCGUGCGCAGGCGGUUCGUUGUGUCGGCGGUGAAAGCCCCGGGCUUAACCUGGGAAUGGCCGUUGAAACUGGCGAACUGGAGUGUGGCAGAGGGGGGUGGAAUUCCGCGUGUAGCAGUGAAAUGCGUAGAUAUGUGGAGGAACACCGAUGGCGAAGGCAGCCCCCUGGGUCAAAACUGACGCUCAUGCACGAAAGCGUGGGGAGCAAACAGG
This 253-nucleotide ribosomal RNA is filed under the name uncultured bacterium. RNAcentral's name for it is "partial 16S ribosomal RNA". It matches the Rfam family "Bacterial small subunit ribosomal RNA", at positions 524 to 776 of the family's 1533-position model. The record is from RNAcentral.